GACGAACGCUGGCGGCGUGCCUAAUACAUGCAAGUAGAACGCACAGUUUAUACCGUAGCUUGCUACACCAUAAACUGUGAGUUGCGAACGGGUGAGUAACGCGUAGGUAACCUGCCUGGUAGCGGGGGAUAACUAUUGGAAACGAUAGCUAAUACCGCAUAAUAUUGAUUAUUGCAUGAUAAUUGAUUGAAAGAUGCUAUUGCAUCACUACCAGAUGGACCUGCGUUGUAUUAGCUAGUAGGUGAGGUAACGGCUCACCUAGGCGACGAUACAUAGCCGACCUGAGAGGGUGAUCGGCCACACUGGGACUGAGACACGGCCCAGACUCCUACGGGAGGCAGCAGUAGGGAAUCUUCGGCAAUGGACGAAAGUCUGACCGAGCAACGCCGCGUGAGUGAAGAAGGUUUUCGGAUCGUAAAGCUCUGUUGUAAGAGAAGAACGGGUGUGAGAGUGGAAAGUUCACACUGUGACGGUAUCUUACCAGAAGGGGACGGCUAACUACGU
Molecule: ribosomal RNA, 504 nt
Filed under: uncultured bacterium
Lineage: Bacteria
Description: partial 16S ribosomal RNA
Rfam family: Bacterial small subunit ribosomal RNA
Source: RNAcentral